GUUAUAUGGUCAAGUGAAGAAGCGCAUACGGUGGAUGCCUUGGCAGUCAGAGGCGAUGAAAGACGUGGUAGCCUGCGAAAAGCUUCGGGGAGUCGGCAAACAGACUUUGAUCCGGAGAUGUCUGAAUGGGGGAACCCAGCCAUCAUAAGAUGGUUAUCUUGUACUGAAUACAUAGGUGCAAGAGGCGAACCAGGGGAACUGAAACAUCUAAGUACCCUGAGGAAAAGAAAUCAACCGAGAUUCCCUUAGUAGUGGCGAGCGAACGGGGACUAGCCCUUAAGU
RNAcentral lists this ribosomal RNA (282 nucleotides) under Pseudomonas sp. PDM07. RNAcentral's name for it is "partial 23S ribosomal RNA". It matches the Rfam family "Bacterial large subunit ribosomal RNA", at positions 1 to 276 of the family's 2925-position model. Lineage: Bacteria; Pseudomonadati; Pseudomonadota; Gammaproteobacteria; Pseudomonadales; Pseudomonadaceae. The record is from RNAcentral.